UCGAUAGGUUGUUUGAUGAGG
Caenorhabditis elegans is the source of this 21-nucleotide non-coding RNA. The record is from Ensembl. NCBI's taxonomy places the organism in Eukaryota, Metazoa, Nematoda, Chromadorea, Rhabditida, Rhabditidae.